CGCCGUAGACUGCAGGUCGUGCCGCCCAGUCACGUAAAAGGGGCAAGGCAACAACUGCCAACAACAACGCUCGGGUUCAGCCUCGGCUGGCCCUCGCUGCCUAAGAGAUUUGGCAGCGCGCUCCCCGCAGCUCCCCCGAUGGCUGCGGCUUGAGCGUCGUGAGUCGGGUGCUCCGGUAGCGCUCGCCUAAGCGCGACCGGCUAAGACAAUAGGCUGGCCCCACGGUCGCUCUGCCACUCGCGCGACCACGGGCGAGAUCAAGCGAGGGGCUAAACCUGUAGAUGUCUGCGGUCUAGCUUUCUGGACGGGGG
RNAcentral lists this transfer-messenger RNA (311 nucleotides) under Vibrio vulnificus. Its description in RNAcentral is "partial transfer-messenger RNA". It matches the Rfam family "transfer-messenger RNA", at positions 33 to 351 of the family's 374-position model. From Rfam's summary of the family: Bacterial tmRNA, also known as 10Sa RNA or SsrA, is named for its dual tRNA and mRNA-like properties. Its role is to liberate the mRNA from a stalled ribosome. To accomplish this part of the tmRNA is used as a reading frame that ends in a translation stop signal. The record is from RNAcentral. Lineage: Bacteria; Pseudomonadati; Pseudomonadota; Gammaproteobacteria; Vibrionales; Vibrionaceae.